AGGAAUGUAUAGCAAUAGCUAGUUGCAUCAUUGUAAUGAGGAUGCAAUAUUGACUAUGUUGAAUAAAAUUCUAGGUAGAAUUAUGAUAAUGACAUUGUCUGCCUAUGUGUCUUGACCAAAUUACGUGCCAGCAGUCGCGGUAAUACGUAGAAGACUAGUGUUAUUCAUGUUUAAUCGGUUUAAAGGGUACCUAGACGGCAGAUCAAGCUUUCCGAGAAGAAAAAAAAGAGAAAAAAGGACUAAUUUGCUAGAGUUACUUACGAGGGGGUUUUAAAGUACUGCUGGUGUAGAGAUGAAAUUCUGUCAUACCUCUUUUCGAAAGAAAAAUGAUGGCACAGGUAUAGGCGAAGGCAUCCCCUUAUGUGAUAACUGAC
This 374-nucleotide ribosomal RNA is filed under the name Hypotrachyna sorocheila. Its description in RNAcentral is "partial small subunit ribosomal RNA". It matches the Rfam family "Bacterial small subunit ribosomal RNA", at positions 357 to 744 of the family's 1533-position model. The record is from RNAcentral. Lineage: Eukaryota; Fungi; Ascomycota; Lecanoromycetes; Lecanorales; Parmeliaceae.